CUACGUGCCAGCAGCCGCGGUAAUACGGAGGGUGCAAGCGUUACUCGGAAUCACUGGGCGUAAAGGACGCGUAGGCGGAUUAUCAAGUCUCUUGUGAAAUCCUAUGGCUUAACCAUAGAACUGCUUGGGAAACUGAUAAUCUAGAGUGAGGGAGAGGCAGAUGGAAUUGGUGGUGUAGGGGUAAAAUCCGUAGAGAUCACCAGGAAUACCCAUUGCGAAGGCGAUCUGCUGGAACUCAACUGACGCUAAUGCGUGAAAGCGCGGGGAGCAAACAGGAUUAGAUACCCUGGUAGUCCACGCCCUAAACGAUGUAUACUAGUUGUUGCUAAGCUAGUCUUGGCAGUAAUGCACCUAACGGAUUAAGUAUACCGCCUGGGGAGUACGGUCGCAAGAUUAAAACUCAAAGGAAUAGACGGGGACCCGCACAAGCGGUGGAGCAUGUGGUUUAAUUCGAAGAUACGCGAAGAACCUUACCCGGACUUGAUAUC
RNAcentral lists this ribosomal RNA (488 nucleotides) under uncultured bacterium. RNAcentral describes it as "bacterial SSU rRNA". It matches the Rfam family "Bacterial small subunit ribosomal RNA", at positions 501 to 988 of the family's 1533-position model. The record is from RNAcentral.